This 23-nucleotide non-coding RNA is filed under the name Cricetulus griseus (Chinese hamster). The record is from RNAcentral. Lineage: Eukaryota; Metazoa; Chordata; Mammalia; Rodentia; Cricetidae.
CGUACCUGUGCAGCUGUUUUGUU